This 24-nucleotide ribosomal RNA is filed under the name Cladonia subcariosa. RNAcentral describes it as "partial 28S ribosomal RNA". RNAcentral also lists the same sequence under 1 other name. Lineage: Eukaryota; Fungi; Ascomycota; Lecanoromycetes; Lecanorales; Cladoniaceae. The record is from RNAcentral.
CAGGUAGGGAUACCCGCUGAACUA